RNAcentral lists this ribosomal RNA (521 nucleotides) under Sotoplax robertsi. Its description in RNAcentral is "partial 16S ribosomal RNA". It matches the Rfam family "Bacterial large subunit ribosomal RNA", at positions 1831 to 2597 of the family's 2925-position model. The record is from RNAcentral. Lineage: Eukaryota; Metazoa; Arthropoda; Malacostraca; Decapoda; Euryplacidae.
GUCUAUUUGUAGAUAUAAAUAGUCUAGCCUGCUCACUGAUAAAAUUUUAUUAAAGAGCCGCGGUAUAUUGACUGUGCAAAGGUAGCAUAAUCAUUAGUUUUUUAAUUGAAAACUUGUAUGAAAGGUUGGACAAAAGAAGGACUGUCUUUGUUAUUAAAAUUGAAUUUUACUUUUGAGUUAAAAGGCUCAAAUACUUCAAAGGGACGAGAAGACCCUAUAAAGUUUUAUAGAAUAAGAUAUUUUGAUUAAAUUAAUAAUAAAGAUUUCUUUGUCUUAUUAUAUUUGAUUGGGGCGAUAUAGAUAUAAUUUUUUUAACUGUCAAGAAAAAAUUACAUAUAUUAUUUGUAUUUAAAUUAAUUGAUCCUUAAUAAAGAUUAAAAGAUUAAGUUACUUUAGGGAUAACAGCGUAAUUUUUUUUGAGAGUCCAUAUCGAAGAAAAAGUUUGCGACCUCGAUGUUGAAUUAAAAUGUCUAUAUAAUGCAGCAGUUAUAUAAGAAGGUCUGUUCGACCUUUAAUUUUUU